CUGUAUAUAGCUCUCAUACAAUGUUAAUGUCCCCAGUAAGCCAACACAAAGUAAGUGGGGGAAGUUGCCAUGGGAACAGGACCUCGAUGAGGCUCUCCUUCAGCUCGUGUCAUGUCCCAGAGUGAGAACACACAUGGAACAAAGACCUGAAGCAUCCCAGCUGACCUCCAGAUUCAUACGUCAGAAAUAAAUACAUGUCAAGACUUUGCAUAUGGUCCAGAGUGGUGAAGUCAGUCAUUGAAGUCACCCAUAGACAUCAAUACUCAGGAGACAUUGAUACUCAAUUGGACUAACUUCAAAAGAACAUUUUGAACUUUAAGACUGUUGGGCGAUACACAUUUCAUGGUUUGGAAAAGACAAUUACUCGUCUGUGCUUCCCCCAACAAUAAAUAAAAGAAACUCAGAGGGAAAACAUGUUACUUUUAGAAAUAGUAAAAGGGAGAAAGUCUUCUUUAUGGGAAAAGACAUAUGGGUGCAAUUGCUUCAGUGCAACGCUGUCUGAAACAAGAGCAAGCAGGAUGCAAGAAGAUCAUUUAGUCAGAAACAUGGAAACGUAGAACAUGAAAACAUUCCCCUGCCCCAUUAAGUUUCAGUGAGUGGAAGUCGGGGAGGAAGUUAAUGACGGAGCACCCCUGUGGAUCACUGACCAUGUAAUCACACCCCUGGGAUCACUGAUAGUUGUAAUUGUCCACACUGUUGUUGAUGGUAUGCGGAGAUGUCUAUGGUUGUACAUUUCAGAAUGUGAGUUCCGUUGUUCUCAGUUCAGUUCUUGGUGUCCUGGUACAGGCAUUUUACUAAAG
Long non-coding RNA from Suricata suricatta (meerkat), 800 nucleotides. RefSeq lists it as uncharacterized. The transcript has 5 exons. The record is from RefSeq and is a predicted model, not a curated record. Lineage: Eukaryota; Metazoa; Chordata; Mammalia; Carnivora; Herpestidae.